Molecule: long non-coding RNA, 765 nt
Organism: Arvicanthis niloticus (Nile rat)
Lineage: Eukaryota; Metazoa; Chordata; Mammalia; Rodentia; Muridae
Source: RefSeq, a predicted model, not a curated record
GCUUGUAGGUUCCUAUCCCUGUUGUUUCCGUUGUUGGCCUGGGACGCCGCGGAUGACCCUACACAGCCCUCGGCCAGCUUCCCGGAAGACUGCGUCUCGUACUGACGAUCGUAACAAAGAUUACCGUGCUUUACUUCUGAGGUUUUAGUCGCACUAAUACGUGCAGCAGGCUAACCACGUGGAAGUUUGCGGGAGAGUAAGCGCCUGUGAGGACCUGUUGGGCAUUUGGGAAAGUUGGUGACUACACUGCUUAAUUUGGAAUGCCCAGUUGAGAUCCAGAAGCCAAGAAGGGGACCUACUUGGCCAAGAUGGCUGUAUCAGGAUGGGUGCACAUACGAUUUUAGGCCAUGGGCCUGAGGUAUGCCCUCUGACCUCCCUAUCCCAUCCAGGCUUUGGGCAGCUCUAAAUUUACCCUGGUAAUUAGCCCACGCCCUAAAUUAUGAACUGGAUUGGGUUGGCUUGGGUUUGACUCUAUUUCUAAGGUUAGUGAAGUGAGAUCUGUGGUAGUGGCACUAGGGAUGGGGGACCCUCUAAGACUCAACAAUCUCUGUCUAACUGUACUCUUUCUUCAAAGAAAAUUAUGAGUUGGUUGGUGAUAGCUGAUCCUUUGAGUUCAAGGCCAGCCUGGUCUACAAAGCAAGUUCCAGGAUAGCUGGGGCUACUACAAGAAGAAACCCUGUCUUGAAAAACAAGAGAGAAUGAUACAGGAGGGGAAACUGGCUGGGUGCUGUGACACAAAUUAAAACCUGUUGAUUCUGGAGUCUG